GGCAAUUUUGAAAUUUUCAAAUAUUUAAUUGAACAUGGAGCAAAUAUAAAUGCUACAACUGACGAAAACUAUACACCUCUAUCUGUGGCUGCUCGGCCUGGUAACAUGGAGAUUGUCAAAUAUCUUGUCGAACAUGGAGCGGAUGUGAAUUCUAGAGAUAACAGUCAUUCUACACCACUCCAUGAGGCUGCCCAAUAUGACGCACUCGAAAUAGUUGUGUUUUUAAUCACUCACGGUGCAAAUGUAAGUGCCGAAGAUAACGUUAAAUGGACGCCACUCCAUAAGGCUGCUCGAAAUGG
This is a long non-coding RNA of Contarinia nasturtii (swede midge), 299 nucleotides long. RefSeq lists it as uncharacterized. NCBI's taxonomy places the organism in Eukaryota, Metazoa, Arthropoda, Insecta, Diptera, Cecidomyiidae. The transcript is spliced from 3 exons. The record is from RefSeq and is a predicted model, not a curated record.